This 71-nucleotide transfer RNA is filed under the name Leptospiraceae bacterium. RNAcentral's name for it is "tRNA-Trp". It matches the Rfam family "tRNA". From Rfam's summary of the family: Transfer RNA (tRNA) molecules are approximately 80 nucleotides in length. The record is from RNAcentral. Lineage: Bacteria; Pseudomonadati; Spirochaetota; Leptospiria; Leptospirales; Leptospiraceae.
AGGCUCGUAGUUAAAUGGUAGAACAACGAUCUCCAAAAUCGUUAAUGAGGGUUCGAUUCCCUCCGAGUCUG